This is a non-coding RNA of Schistosoma mattheei, 46 nucleotides long. NCBI's taxonomy places the organism in Eukaryota, Metazoa, Platyhelminthes, Trematoda, Strigeidida, Schistosomatidae. The record is from Rfam.
GCACUGCUGAGGAGUCCUAUACUAGGACAAAACGGCCGUCCAGUGC